AUAAUUAAUUUUUUUGGGUUGGUUAUUCUGAUUGUCAACGAAGAAGUGUCAAAAAAAAGUAAGCUUAACCUCACUUUUUGAAAUAAUAUUUUAUUUGUAGGUUUGAAUCGAGAUUUAACACGCAAUUCGAAUUUGGAGGACGUUUAUUACAAAUUUGAAUCGAGAUUUAACACGCAAUUCGAAUUUGGAGGACGUUUAUUACAAGUUUGAAUCGAGAUUUAACACGCAAUUCGAAUUUGGAGGACGUUUAUUACAAG
Non-coding RNA from Onthophagus taurus, 257 nucleotides. The record is from RefSeq and is a predicted model, not a curated record. NCBI's taxonomy places the organism in Eukaryota, Metazoa, Arthropoda, Insecta, Coleoptera, Scarabaeidae.